GUGGGUGUAGCUCAGCUUGGUAGAGCACAGGGUUGUGGCCCCUGCGGCCGAGGGUUCGAAUCCCUUCACUCACCCCA
Molecule: transfer RNA, 77 nt
Filed under: Deltaproteobacteria bacterium
Lineage: Bacteria; Pseudomonadati; Myxococcota; Myxococcia
Description: tRNA-His
Rfam family: tRNA
About the family: Transfer RNA (tRNA) molecules are approximately 80 nucleotides in length. Their secondary structure includes four short double-helical elements and three loops (D, anti-codon, and T loops). Further hydrogen bonds mediate the characteristic L-shaped molecular structure. tRNAs have two regions of fundamental functional importance: the anti-codon, which is responsible for specific mRNA codon recognition, and the 3' end, to which the tRNAs corresponding amino acid is attached (by aminoacyl-tRNA synthetases). tRNAs cope with the degeneracy of the genetic code in two manners: having more than one tRNA (with a specific anti-codon) for a particular amino acid; and 'wobble' base-pairing, i.e. permitting non-standard base-pairing at the 3rd anti-codon position.
Source: RNAcentral